Molecule: non-coding RNA, 28 nt
Filed under: Cricetulus griseus (Chinese hamster)
Lineage: Eukaryota; Metazoa; Chordata; Mammalia; Rodentia; Cricetidae
Also listed under: 1 other name
Source: RNAcentral
AUGUGGCUCUGUGGCGCAAUGGAUAGCG